GUCUAUGGCCAUACCACCCUGAGAACACCUGAUCUCAUCCAAUCUUGGAAACUAAGCAGGCUUGGAUGGGAGACCACCUGGGAAUAUUGGGUGCUGCAGGCU
RNAcentral lists this ribosomal RNA (102 nucleotides) under Acanthisitta chloris (rifleman). Lineage: Eukaryota; Metazoa; Chordata; Aves; Passeriformes; Acanthisittidae. The record is from RNAcentral.